GGCCCCUCGCGGCCCCGCGCCCCCUCGCCGCUGCCCCAGCCCCCCCCCCACCAGGGGCGCCCGCGGAGGGAGUGAAGGAGCCCAUCUCGGCCCUCCCGCCUCCCCCUUGGAGCCUGGCUUCGGGGUAGAGAGGAGGAGGCGGGCGCCACGGCUCGGGUCGGCGGCACUGGCUGCGGGCGUCGGGCGAGGGGCGAGGGAGCCCCCCCCCAGCCCCCGCUGGCGCCCGCAACUCGGGGCCCCGUCCGGGAGCUGCAGCGGCCACACUUCGCGCAGACACGCGCGCGGGGGAGGGGAGGGUGACAGAACCGACCCGGGAAGCUGGCCUUGGGCGCACGGGACCCCUCACCUGCCGAGGCAGGUAGGGAGCCAGUGGCCCACCCGGAUAGACGCGCCACUAGAAAGCCUUCAGGCGCUGAGGCAAGGGUCCCUCCCGGGCGUGGAAAAUUCUCGCUUCAACUUGUGGGUCCAGAGUGUGAAUCAAGAAUAACAUGGCAACCAAGCCUGGGGAGCCAUGGACCCAUCCUGAGUCUUGGACCACCAUUCAUGCUGUCUAUCCCCUACCAUCCUUAGAAGUGUUCUCGGAGGGAAACAUUGCGUCUUUGAAGUGUAAAGUCGAUUUGAUUACUCUCAGUCUCUUUGAUAAUGGAUCAUGCUAUGAAAUGCUAGCUUCAUAGUGGAAUAUCAAUGACCUUUAUAUCUGGAACAUGAAGUGAUAUCAGCCCUAUGGAGAGACCCAUGUAGCAGGGGACAAAGCCUCCAGUGAACAGCCAUGAGAGCGAGCCUUCUUGGAAGUGGCUACUCUGGCUUCAGCCAUGCCCACAGUGUCUCAGCAGAUGUCCAAGGUUGAGAGAAGCUCUACUGAAGGACUGUACCCAAGGAGCCUCAUCCAUGCCAGAAACUAAUUUAGAUGAUGAGAUUCUGGAGUUUGAGCUGAUGCAUUAGAUUUUGUGGACCUUAUGAAGAGUGAGUAUAUUUUACAUGUAUGAAGAAUCCAUGGGACUCCGCCGCUGUCAUUGUCUUACCCCACAUGUGAAAAAGGCAUGGAAGGUGGAAGAACCUUGCUUGACUACAAAGAUGCCUUUGCACACUGGCCCAAAUUUCCACAAACCAGGGCAAGAAUGGCUGCAUAAAUUUUGGACCCUUCUGCAAAAUGAAAAUGCAGAGCUUUUUGUU
This is a long non-coding RNA of Leopardus geoffroyi (Geoffroy's cat), 1173 nucleotides long. RefSeq lists it as uncharacterized. Lineage: Eukaryota; Metazoa; Chordata; Mammalia; Carnivora; Felidae. The record is from RefSeq and is a predicted model, not a curated record. The transcript has 8 exons.